GACAGAGGUCCCGAGCGUUAGGCGGAAUCACUGGGCUUAAAGCGUGUGUAGGCGGCGGCCUAAGUCCCUUGUGAAAUCCCACGGCUCACCCGUGGAACUGCUCGGUAUACUGGGUCGCUUGAGCCACUUAGGGGCUACCGGAACAAAUGGUGGAGCGGUGAAAUGCGUAGAUAUCAUUUGGAACGCCAAUGGUGAAAACAGGUAGCUGGGAGUGUGCUGACGCUGAGACACGAAAGCCAGGGGAGCAAACAGG
Molecule: ribosomal RNA, 253 nt
Filed under: uncultured bacterium
Lineage: Bacteria
Description: partial 16S ribosomal RNA
Rfam family: Bacterial small subunit ribosomal RNA
Source: RNAcentral